This 253-nucleotide ribosomal RNA is filed under the name uncultured bacterium. RNAcentral describes it as "partial 16S ribosomal RNA". It matches the Rfam family "Bacterial small subunit ribosomal RNA", at positions 524 to 776 of the family's 1533-position model. The record is from RNAcentral.
UACGUAGGGUGCAAGCGUUGUCCGGAAUUAUUGGGCGUAAAGAGCUCGUAGGCGGUCUGUCGCGUCUGCUGUGAAAACUCGGGGCUUAACCCCGGGCCUGCAGUGGGUACGGGCAGACUAGAGUGCGGUAGGGGAGACUGGAAUUCCUGGUGUAGCGGUGAAAUGCGCAGAUAUCAGGAGGAACACCGGUGGCGAGGGCGGGUCUCUGGGCCGUAACUGACGCUGAGGAGCGAAAGCGUGGGGAGCGAACAGG